UGCCAUGUUGGGAUAAGUCAUUGUUUUUCCCAUACAUAUUAAGCGACAUACAUAAUUUUAAUUUGUUAGGCCAUGUGUCAAUCGCUCUUUUACUUAAACUUUUAUGACCGCCUUCUUUAAAUUGUGGCUUUCUCUUUCGAUACUUUCUUAUCUGUUCCUACAAAUAUUAUCUUGUUAAAAAGUCAUAUAAAGAGUUUGAUUCCCCUUUGUUAUAUUCGAUUGAGAAAUCAAAUGCCGAAAGUAUGGUCUGCCGUCGUGCAAAAAUCUGUUUGGUGCUAAAUUUUUAACGUCCUUCUGCAAUCUUCUUUUGCAAACGUAUGAUCAUUCUUAUGCAGAACUGAUAUGAUGAAAUUUGGGACCAUAAGAUGGAGGACGGCCUUCAUUUAACCUUGCGGCUUCCUCUUUUCAUUAUCUCGUUAAAAAUUCAGGUUUUUUGUCUCGCUGAUGUGGACCUCAUGUGGAUAAUCCAUUAACAUGCAAUUCAUGACCACUUGAGCAUGUGAUCGUGGUACAAGGAGGUUACAGGAGGAGGUUACUGCCAAUUAUUUAUUUAUGUGUAUUUAAGAAAGUUAUGUUUUAGUAGAAACUGAAUAUUAUCCAUGUAAUAUAUAUAUAUAUAUAUAUUUAGAAGUAGGACUAUAGGGAGGUAUUAUGAAUGAAUGAAAUUGACUUCUGACC
Ziziphus jujuba (common jujube) is the source of this 678-nucleotide long non-coding RNA. RefSeq lists it as uncharacterized. The transcript is spliced from 2 exons. NCBI's taxonomy places the organism in Eukaryota, Viridiplantae, Streptophyta, Magnoliopsida, Rosales, Rhamnaceae. The record is from RefSeq and is a predicted model, not a curated record.